UACAGAGGUCUCAAGCGUUGUUCGGAUUCAUUGGGCGUAAAGGGUGCGUAGGCGGCGCGGUAAGUCGGGUGUGAAAUUUCGAGGCUUAACUUCGAAACUGCAUUCGAUACUGCCGUGCUUGAGGACUGGAGAGGAGACUGGAAUUUACGGUGUAGCGGUGAAAUGCGUAGAUAUCGUAAGGAAGACCAGUGGCGAAGGCGGGUCUCUGGACAACACCUGACACUGAGGCACGAAAGCUAGGGGAGCAAACAGG
RNAcentral lists this ribosomal RNA (253 nucleotides) under uncultured bacterium. RNAcentral's name for it is "partial 16S ribosomal RNA". It matches the Rfam family "Bacterial small subunit ribosomal RNA", at positions 524 to 776 of the family's 1533-position model. The record is from RNAcentral.